AUACGGAGGGUGCGAGCGUUAAUCGGAAUUACUGGGCGUAAAGCGUACGUAGGCGGUUGGUUAAGUUAGGUGUGAAAGCCCCGGGCUUAACCUGGGAACUGCAUUUAAAACUGGCGAACUAGAGUUGAGUAGAGGGGAGUGGAAUUUCAGGUGUAGCGGUGAAAUGCGUAGAGAUCUGAAGGAACACCAGUGGCGAAGGCGACUCCCUGGACUCGAACUGACGCUGAGGUACGAAAGCGUGGGUAGCAAACGGGAUUAGAAACCCCAGUAGUCC
Molecule: ribosomal RNA, 274 nt
Filed under: uncultured bacterium
Lineage: Bacteria
Description: partial 16S ribosomal RNA
Rfam family: Bacterial small subunit ribosomal RNA
Source: RNAcentral